AUGUGUGCACCAAAAGAUCAAGGUCGAAUGAGAUUCCGAGAUAUACACUGUUUUAGUUUGGCCUUGUUAGCCAAACAAACGUGACGUCUGCUUGAUAACCCUGAUUUUCUAUGUGCCACUGUUUUGAGAACCAAAUAUUUCCCGGAUGGCGACAUAAUGAAUGCAAGUUUAAAAAAGGGUUCUUCUUUUACUUGGCAAAGCAUUAUGACGGGCAUUGAUUCUCUCAAAAAUGGUUAUAGUUGGAGAGUUGGAAAUGGACUAAAUAUUGAUAUUUGGAAAGAUGCAUGGAUCCCAAACUGUGCAAAUAGGAAAAUUAUUACUCCUAGAGGAGGGCACCUGCUAUCAAAAGUUGCUGACCUUAUCAAUCCGGUCACCAAUUUUUGGGAUGAAGAUUUAGUUAGACAAACAUUGUGGCCAGUUGAUGCUCAAAGGGUGCUAGCGAUCCCCCUCUCCAUGCAUAAGAUGACAGAUUUCAUUGCUUGGAAUUACACAAAGAAUGGGUGUUUCACGGUUUGGUCAGCUUACUUAAAGGGAUGGACCAAACAACAUGAGAGGAAAUUGAACUACACAAAUGGUAUGGGGGAAAAUGUCAAUCCUAUUUGGAGAAAGGUUUGGAAAUUAUCUUGUCCAGCAAUAGUGAAGAUUUUCAUAUAGCGUACCUUGCACGGAACACUACCAUGUCGUGCCACACUUUCUAAUAGACAUUUGAAAGUUUCUCCCAUCUGCCCAUCAUGUUCGAAUGGACCAGAAGAUACAAAACACAUGUUGUUUCUUAGUCAGAAGGCGAAAGAUGUUUGGAGAAAACUAGGAUUGCAUGAGGCCAUCAGUAAAGCUUGUGUUAUUAAUCGUGCGGGAGAGUCAGUUCUUGAGUUUUUACUUCUUAUGCCAGAGGAAGAGCUAUCUAAAGUAGGCACCCAUAAUGCACAUGAAUUGAUUGCUAUAACAGCCUGGUAUUUAUGGUGGAAUAAAUGGAUGCUAGUUCAUGAGGGAAAGUCCCAAGAUGCAUACCAAACCUCAAUGGGAGCCCGUGCUAUAGCGGCAAAUUAUGUUAAAGCUCAUUCCUCGAGGGCAACAAUUAGAACAGGGGGAUGGGAAAGACCUCCCGUGGGUUUUGUGAAAUUGAAUGUUGAUGCCUCUUUUGAUCAGGACAUGCUUAGAGGUACAGCAGGGGUUGUUCUUAGAGAUGACAAAGGAAGGUUCAUUAUUGGGGGGAACUAG
RNAcentral lists this ribosomal RNA (1218 nucleotides) under Triticum aestivum (bread wheat). RNAcentral describes it as "partial small subunit ribosomal RNA". The record is from RNAcentral. Lineage: Eukaryota; Viridiplantae; Streptophyta; Magnoliopsida; Poales; Poaceae.